CGUGUAGGCGGGAGAGCAAGUCAGAUGUGAAAUCUAUGGGCUUAACCCAUAAACUGCAUUUGAAACUGUUCUUCUUGAGUAUCGGAGAGGCAGGCGGAAUUCCUAGUGUAGCGGUGAAAUGCGUAGAUAUUAGGAGGAACACCAGUAGCGAAGGCGGCUUUCUGGACUGUAACUGACACUGAGGCACGAAAGCGUGGGGGAGCAAACA
This 208-nucleotide ribosomal RNA is filed under the name uncultured bacterium. RNAcentral's name for it is "partial 16S ribosomal RNA". It matches the Rfam family "Bacterial small subunit ribosomal RNA", at positions 568 to 774 of the family's 1533-position model. The record is from RNAcentral.